UGAGGAAUAUUGGUCAAUGGGCGGAAGCCUGAACCAGCCAAGUAGCGUGCAGGAGGACGGCCCUAUGGGUUGUAAACUGCUUUUAUGCGGGGAUAAAGUGAGGGACGUGUCCCUUUUUGCAGGUACCGCAUGAAUAAGGACCGGCUAAUUCCGUGCCAGCAGCCGCGGUAAUACGGAAGGUCCGGGCGUUAUCCGGAUUUAUUGGGUUUAAAGGGAGCGUAGGCCGGGGAUUAAGUGUGUUGUGAAAUGUAGGCGCCCAACGUCUGACUUGCAGCGCAUACUGGUUCCCUUGAGUACGCGCAACGCCGGCGGAAUUCGUCGUGUAGCGGUGAAAUGCUUAGAUAUGACGAAGAACCCCGAUUGCGAAGGCAGCCGGCGGGAGCGCAACUGACGCUGAAGCUCGAAGGUGCGGGUAUCGAACAGGAUUAGAUACCCUGGUAGUCCGCACGGUAAACGAUGGAUGCCCGCUGUUGGUACCUGGUAUCAGCGGCUAAGCGAAAGCAUUAAGCAUCCCACCUGGGGAGUACGCCGGCAACGGUG
RNAcentral lists this ribosomal RNA (540 nucleotides) under uncultured bacterium. Its description in RNAcentral is "bacterial SSU rRNA". It matches the Rfam family "Bacterial small subunit ribosomal RNA", at positions 355 to 896 of the family's 1533-position model. The record is from RNAcentral.